Cyprinus carpio (common carp) is the source of this 1404-nucleotide long non-coding RNA. RefSeq lists it as uncharacterized. Lineage: Eukaryota; Metazoa; Chordata; Actinopteri; Cypriniformes; Cyprinidae. The transcript is spliced from 3 exons. The record is from RefSeq and is a predicted model, not a curated record.
GUUUAACGUAAAGCAGGAAGUAAGUUUGCUGGUCCGUGAAGGAAUGUGGCGUGGAAAAACGCGGGGAGGGAAACGUGCUAAAGCACAACACGACUAAUCGAUAAGCUGGGUUUUAAAAUCAUAUAAAAGGUAAUGAUGAUACGACCACCUUUAUCUAACAUGAAACCACGAGGUAUACUGAACUAAGUCGCGUUUUGUCAGAUAAGUUAAAUAAUUGUUUAUAGUUUGUGGUUCAAGCUGUAUAGUCUUUAAGCUUUUUUAGAAAAACACUUCUGGUAAAAAGUGAAUGUUGACGAGGAUAUAUAAUGGACUAAGGGGACAGAAUGUCUGCCUCAACAUAAAAGCUGUUGCAGCUCCUCAAACGGAUACCAUUCAUUGAUUUCGAAGUGUUGUCUAUCCACCAAUUCCUGGAUCUAUGAUUGGCCAUUGUGAUUAAAAAAAAGUGUUUUUUGUGAAUUGUUGUCAAAAGCAGAUGUCUUCAUGCGCUCUGAUGUCACGUGGUGCCAGUUCACUCCCAAAUGUGGACGUUCUGCAGAUGUUUCUCAUCGGCUCAGCACUGAUUCCUAUGGAUUAUUUCAAUUGUUUGAAUGCUUUUAAAACAAACUGUAUAAUAAAACUCUAAAACGUGUUAAUUCACACAACAACGUUGCAUGCAUUCUCAAGAACAAAUGCAGAUCAAAGCGCUUUGGUAAAUUGGAGUACAUUGGUAAGCGCUACAGUUUAAAUCCACAGUACUACCUUUUGAAGGUCAUUCCGCUGGUAAGAACUUGGUGAACGUGAAGGAAAAGUUCCACAGAGACUCAUGAGGACACAGAUAACCAGCAGCGCAACAGGUGAUGCCUACACGAGUCUUCUUCAUCCUAGUCAAGCAAUACAGAAGUGGAGAGGUCAGCUAGAUGUUGCUUAUAUGAGACUUCACAAGUGACACAGUUAUUGAACUUAACUGAGCUAAAUGAUGACACUACUGUCUGUAGAGCUAAAUUUGUUGCAUAACUGAUAUGUUUAUUAAAUGUUAAAAGCUGCUCUGAAGCAAUCUUUACACUCUUAAAAAUAAAGACUCCAAAGGGGGAGUUCAUUGAAGAAUUAUUUUUGGUUCCCCAGAGAACCAUUCAGUGAACAGUUCUUAAAGGGGUCAUAUGAUGCGAUUUCAGGUUUUCAUUUCUCUUUGGAGUGUUACAAGCUGUUAGUGCAUACAUAAGAUCACUAAAGUUGCAAAGACUAAAGUCUUAAACCCAAAGAGAUAUUCUUUAUAAAGGUUUAGACUCGACUAGCUAUUCUAAAACUCCUCGUUUAAACACGCCCCCACAUGUCUACGUCACUGUGUGGGAAGAUUUGCAUAACACCGCCCAAAUGUUCAUGCAAAGAAAGAAGGCAUAACUUUUAUUCUCGCUGUAGUAUUGUUGU